Molecule: ribosomal RNA, 376 nt
Filed under: uncultured bacterium
Lineage: Bacteria
Description: bacterial SSU rRNA
Rfam family: Bacterial small subunit ribosomal RNA
Source: RNAcentral
AUACGGAGGGUGCAAGCGUUGUUCGGAAUUAUUGGGCGUAAAGGGCGCGUAGGUGGUUCUGUGUGUCAGAUGUGAAAUCCCGAGGCUCAACCUCGGAACUGCAUCUGAAACUGCAGUGACUAGAGUACAGAAGAGGGAAACGGAAUUCCAGGUGUAGAGGUGAAAUUCGUAGAUAUCUGGAGGAACACCGGUGGCGAAGGCGGUUUCCUGGUCUGAUACUGACACUGAGGCGCGAAAGCGUGGGGAGCAAACAGGAUUAGAUACCCCGGUAGUCCUGGCCGUAAACGAUGAAUGCUAGGUGUGGGUGUAGAGAUACAUUCGUGCCGGAGUUAACGCGAUAAGCAUUCCGCCUGGGGAGUACGGUCGCAAGAUUGAA